GCCGGGCGCGGUGGCUCACGCCUGUAAUCCCAGCACUUUGGGAGGCUGAGGUGGGUGGAUCACCUGAGGUCGGGAGCUGAAGACCAUCCUGGCCAACAUGGUGAAACCCCAUCUCUA
Molecule: unclassified non-coding RNA, 117 nt
Organism: Callithrix jacchus (white-tufted-ear marmoset)
Lineage: Eukaryota; Metazoa; Chordata; Mammalia; Primates; Cebidae
Rfam family: Metazoan signal recognition particle RNA
About the family: The signal recognition particle (SRP) is a universally conserved ribonucleoprotein.
Source: Ensembl